CAUAGUAUACAUGGAAUAUAUAGUUUUCAUAAUGUAUAUACAUGUAAAGUAAUAUACAUAGAAUAAUGAUUAAUUAAAGGUAUGUUGCAAAUAAACUUUGUACCAUUGUAAUUAAAAUCUACAAAUCUUUUUAUAUUUGUUACUUUUAAUACAUUGAGUAAUAUUUUUGUAUACGAUGUCUUAGUAAAAAUGUAAUUUUUAAUUAUUUCUGAUUUUUCAUAUUAAUGUAAAAUUCAAAUAAGAUAGGCGGCUGUGAAAUGCAAUACGUCAAUAGUUGCAAUGUAGUACAAGGACACUCGCUUAUCGCAAGACGUUAUUUCCGCUUAUUGACAUUUAAUUAAAAUAAGCUUCAAGAACUUCUAUAUGUUGUUUGUUAAUGCGAAGAUUGGUUAAUGAAACAAAAUAUUUAAAAAAUCAUUUCCUAAUACCUAAUGUAUAUUGUUACAUUUGUCACGUUACAAAAAUAUACAAUACAUGUUACCAUAAUAGUAGCAAGUUGCUUGAUUUUUAAUUUAACAUGUUAAUUUCAUUGCAUUUAAUUGAACACCUGUUUCAAAUUGUUUUAUAAAACUACAGGUGCGAUAAUAUAAAUUUAUGCGCGCGCGCGCGUAACGAGGAGCUAUGGAUAAAGGAGAACAGGAGAACGAAUGUAAUCAAUAUAUAACAUAAUAAAAAUCAUUUUAUAUGUAGUAUAAAAUGAUAUUUUAUUAUACUUUGUUGCAGUGAUUAAAAGUAUAAGUUUCUUUCAUGUAACUUAUAUACUACUUAUAAUAACCACAGUAUUUGAAAUAAUUAAUUUUAUAAUUAUUUACAUCUUCUAUGUGAUAGUUUUGAGCUUAUCUGAAGGUGCAUUAAAAGCAGUUUAUUUAAAUGUUUUUAUCAGUAAAUUUAGGCACAUCCCUGUGAAUCGUACGCAUGACUCGCACCCUUCUACGCCUGUAACGGAAGUGAAACGAAGACCAGAGACAGUGGCGGAUCUAGAGGAGGAGUGAUGGAGGCGAUAAUCCCUUAAUAGAUAUUAUUUUUAAGAAAGGAGUAUUAGGAAUGACUGGAUUUGGUUACUUGGAUUACAAUCGGCUAAAAAUAUUAAUAAAUAAGCCAAAAAACAGUUUGAAAUCGAGAGGAAAAAGGAUUUAAAAACAUUUCGCUUCCACCCUCAAGAAGGACUUCUGGAUCCGCCCCUGACCAGCGAUAAUAGCACCCACUUGUCGGCUAGCUGAUACCGUGGCAAGUGCAACUCUGCGCCCAUCCGUUUGUCCAAACGAUUAAUGUCCUUCUAUAGGAAUGUUUUAAAAUUAAUGUGGACAUCUUAAUUCUUCAACAACCGGUGAAUUACCUCUAGUUUAAUAUAGUUCGGAGUGAUUGUUCAUUUUUUAAAUUAAAUGCUGCACCGAAGGUGUCUACUUACCUCAUACAUGAUGUUUAUAAUACAUUUAGAUUAACUGAAGAAUUUCAUUGAAUCAAUUAACAAUGGAUGUUACAAUGAAAAAUGCAAGUAGAGGAAGCAGCUGGGUCUGUCCAAAUGAUAGACAUUUAGCACUGAGAGCAAAGUUGAGGACAGGCUGGUCUGUAAAAACUGGUUCUUUAGAUUCAAACUGGGGUCAUUGUUCUAAUUUUUAUUCAAGUGGUACAAAUCGAUGUGCGCAGUCUUUUGUACUUACCGAAGAAGAGCAACAGACAAUCAUACAGGUCAUCCAACGAGCCGAGGCUUUAGAUUUGUCAGAACAAGAAAGGAUUGGUAGAUUGGUAGAAAGAUUGGAAAACAUGAAACGUAAUGUAUGUAUGGUCACAACGACCAGAUUGAAUGAAAGAAAGAACUGCAGUAGCAGAUGCUCUAGAAGCGCGCAUUGCACAUGCUCUUGUGCUCUUUGUGGUGAGAAAUUUGGUACUGUAUUAGGCGCGACACCGAGUCUCUGCAAAGAUUGUCGUAAAUACAUAUGCCAGAAGUGUGGCAUUGAAACGAACGAUCUUAAUUCAAUGUUUUCAAAUAUUCCAACAAUGAGAGAGAAAGCACAAGAAACAACAACUAUGCAACGAAUCAUUAAACGAUCUAGCAGCAGUCAGAAACAGUAUCUUUGUCGAAUAUGCGCUGAGACCAGAGAAAUGUGGAAAAAGAGUGGUGCUUGGUUUUUUAAAGGAAUGCCAAAGUAUAUCUUACCAGAGAAAAAGGAACGAGGAUGGUCGAGAUCCGUUCACAAAACAUCUACUUGGAUAAGUGGAGGUAAUAAAUCUCUUGAAUCAUCUGAACUUCAAGAUUCUUCUUCUGAUGAAGAAGCAACGAGACGUUUAGCAUUAGCCAGAAGACAAUCCAGUUCAUUCUCCAGCUUACAAAAGAAUCAAGACAGUAUUACUAACAAAACUCAUUCAUCAUUUUCAAAUUCUGCUCAAUCAACUAGCAGCAUAUGUAAAACACCAUCAGGACAACCAUCGAACGGUCUUUCACCAUUGAAUAACCGUGACGAAUGUUCAGAUCAAUUAGACAAAUCAACUCUAUCGAUUACCUCUCAGUGCAGUCGCCUUUCACCAACUAGUCCUCGUUCACGAACAAAUAGUAAAACCGCUAACGAUUAUCAAAUCGAGCAACGUGUAUCGUUCGAAGAUGAGAUCAUGGAUGAAAAGAACAAAAAAUUUCACGAUAUUAACGAUUCGAAUGAUGACGUUCAUAAAGCGGAAUUCAAUUCACGUAAUCAGUCUAAAAUCUCUCAGGUACAAUCACUCAGAUCGAAUUCUUCGACGACGAUGGAACAGUUCCAAGUUCACGAGAAAUGCACAAAUCAGGAAGGAAGUCGAUCGUGUCCAGAACAGGAGAAUCUGUUCAACAUUCCACGACUACAAAGGUGGGAAUGCGAAACGGAACAAAGUUAUGGAACUCUAGAAGUCUCCUUGCGAUACGACCCAGCGGUUCAGUGCCUCCAAUGCAAAGUGGAACGAGCACGAGGUUUACGACCAAUGGAUAUUCACGGUCUUGCCGAUCCAUUUUGCAAACUCAACAUACUACCAGUAGCAACAAUCACGACUACGAAACGACUUCGAACAAAAACAGUUCACAAAACACGGGAUCCGGAGUUCAACGAGAUACUAAACUUCUAUGGGACAACAGAAACCGAUGUAUGGAACGGGAAAGCAUUGCACAUCAUGAUACUCCAAGACGAUCAAGCAGGACAAGACUUUCUAGGAGAAGCGAAGUUUCCUCUGCACGAGUUACAACCACGUCAAACGAAACAUUAUAAUGUUUCGCUACAAGAUCAUUAUCCAGUGGACAAUGAAGAGGCAGCUUGGGGCGUGUUUCCUACUGGACGUGGACAAAUUCAUCUGAGUCUAGGCUACUGUACAAGACGUGGAGCAUUGAUGGUUACAAUUCACCGAGCUACCAAUCUUCUUCCUAUGGACAGCAACGGAUCGUCUGAUCCAUUUGUCAAGUUGUGCCUUAUAGAAAAUGUGACGAACAAUCAUCGACAGCAUAUUUUCGACUAUUCGUUUGCACGUAUUACUAUUAGGAAGCUAGUGUCGAGAAAAGUUACAAAUUCUAAUUCACAAAAUACCAGAGUCAAAUGGAAAACUUUAAAUCCAGAAUGGAACGAAGAGUUUGCUUUUGCUGCUCGAUUAACAGACCUCAUGAAAAUUACGUUAUGUCUUACUGUAUGGGAUAAGGACUUUGGUAAAAGUAAUGAUUAUCUAGGCGGACUUGAGUUAAGUUGUAACAGUAAAGGAGCCCGAUUACGACAUUGGAUAGACGCAAUCAAAUUUCCAGAUCAUCGUCAUCAAGCUUGGCACAACUUAACUGAUACUAUUUUGCCUACAGAAUGAAAGAUAAUAUUUCUAUUUUUCUUAACAUACUACUCGAGACAUUUUAAUAAGACCUGUAAUCAAUGUGAAUCAUAUAAUCUACAAAAUAUAAUUUAUUUACACAUGAUCUACACAAUAUUGCUCAAAGUGUAUUACUUAAAAACAAAAAAGAUAAGUGGAAAAUUUUACAACAAAAUAGGAAUUAGAGGAAAAGAAGAUUUAUUUGAAAGAUUUUAA
Molecule: RNA transcript, 4023 nt
Organism: Osmia bicornis bicornis
Lineage: Eukaryota; Metazoa; Arthropoda; Insecta; Hymenoptera; Megachilidae
Gene name: rabphilin-1
Exons: 11
Source: RefSeq, a predicted model, not a curated record